GUGGGGAAUUUUGGACAAUGGGCGCAAGCCUGAUCCAGCAAUGCCGCGUGCAGGAAGAAGGCCUUCGGGUUGUAAACUGCUUUUGUACGGAACGAAACGGUCCUGGCUAAUAUCCGGGGCUAAUGACGGUACCGUAAGAAUAAGCACCGGCUAACUACGUGCCAGCAGCCGCGGUAAUACGUAGGGUGCGAGCGUUAAUCGGAAUUACUGGGCGUAAAGCGUGCGCAGGCGGUGCUGUAAGACAGGCGUGGAAUCCCCGGGCUCAACCUGGGAAUUGCGCUUGUGACUGCAGUGCUGGAGUGAGACAGAGGGGGAUGGAAUUCCGCGUGUAGCAGUGAAAUGCGUAGAUAUGCGGAGGAACACCGAUGGCGAAGGCAAUCCCCUGGGCCUCCACUGACGCUCAUGCACGAAAGCGUGGGGAGCAAACAGGAUUAGAAACCCGAGUAGUCC
This 450-nucleotide ribosomal RNA is filed under the name uncultured bacterium. Its description in RNAcentral is "partial 16S ribosomal RNA". It matches the Rfam family "Bacterial small subunit ribosomal RNA", at positions 354 to 796 of the family's 1533-position model. The record is from RNAcentral.